RNAcentral lists this ribosomal RNA (1269 nucleotides) under uncultured bacterium. RNAcentral's name for it is "bacterial SSU rRNA". It matches the Rfam family "Bacterial small subunit ribosomal RNA", at positions 94 to 1399 of the family's 1533-position model. The record is from RNAcentral.
AGUGGCAGACGGGUGAGUAACAUGUAGGUAUCUGCCCUUUGGCCUGGAAUAACACGAGGAAACUUGUGCUAAUACUGGAUAAGUCUUUACGGAGAAAGCUUUAUGCACCAUUGGAUGAGCCUGCACUUGAUUAGUUUGUUGGUGGGGUAAUGGCCUACCAAGACUGUGAUCAAUAGCUGAUUUGAGAGGAUGAUCAGCCACAUUGGGACUGAGACACGGCCCAAACUCCUACGGGAGGCAGCAGUGGGGAAUCUUGCACAAUGGAGGAAACUCUGAUGCAGCGAUGCCGCGUGAGUGAAGAAGGCCCUUGGGUUGUAAAGCUCUUUCGUCGGGGAAGAAAAUGACUGUACCCGAAUAAGAAGGUCCGGCUAACUUCGUGCCAGCAGCCGCGGUAAUACGAAGGGACCUAGCGUAGUUCGGAAUUACUGGGCUUAAAGAGUUCGUAGGUGGUUGAAAAAGUUGGUGGUGAAAUCCCAGAGCUUAACUCUGGAACUGCCAUCAAAACUUUUCAGCUAGAGUACGAUAGAGGAAAGCAGAAUUUCUAGUGUAGAGGUGAAAUUCGUAGAUAUUAGAAAGAAUACCAAUUGCGAAGGCAGCUUUCUGGAUCAUUACUGACACUGAGGAACGAAAGCAUGGGUAGCGAAGAGGAUUAGAUACCCUCGUAGUCCAUGCCGUAAACGAUGUGUGUUAGACGUUGGAAAUUUAUUUUCAGUGUCGCAGCGAAAGCGAUAAACACACUGCCUGGGGAGUACGACCGCAAGGUUAAAACUCAAAUGAAUUGACGGGGACCCGCACAAGUAGUGGAGCAUGUGGUUUAAUUCGAAGAUACGCGCAGAACCUUACCAACACUUGACAUGUUCGUCGCGACUCUAAGAGAUUAGAGUUUUCGGUUCGGCCGGACGAAACACAGGUGCUGCAUGGCUGUCGUCAGCUCGUGUCGUGAGAUGUUGGGUUAAGUCCCGCAACGAGCGCAACCCUCACUUUUAGUUGCCAUCAUUUAGUUGGGCACUCUGAAAGAACUGCCAGUGAUAAGCUGGAGGAAGGUGGGGAUGACGUCAAGUCCUCAUGGCCCUUACGUGUUGGGCUACACACGUGCUACAAUGGUAUCUACAACAGGAAGCAAGACUGCGAAGUUAAGCAAAUCCUUAAAAGAUACCUCAGUUCGGAUUGCACUCUGCAACUCGAGUGCAUGAAGCUGGAAUUACUAGCAAUCGUGGAUCAGCGUGCCACGGUGAAUGCGUUCCCGGGUCUUGUACACACCGCCCGUCA